Molecule: unclassified non-coding RNA, 389 nt
Filed under: Hevea brasiliensis (rubber tree)
Lineage: Eukaryota; Viridiplantae; Streptophyta; Magnoliopsida; Malpighiales; Euphorbiaceae
Source: RNAcentral
ACAAGAAGGGCCACCUCAUCAGGGGCAAGUCGUUCUGAAUGAUGCAUGACACCAACAAGCUGGUGAUAACUGUCACUAUCUCCCGUUUGGACAGAGAUAAGAGCAUCUCUGACAUGAUAAACCAGCUCAGAAUCACUGAAAUUAACAUCCUCCAUUUCGUGAAACUCUCCGUUAUGGGCCAAUUCUACACCCAUAUGGCUAAGGCUCCUUAACUCUCUGUUCUUCUAUUGUGUUGUCCACUAUCAAUGAACUGAGCUAGUGCGCUAAGUUGUCGGAGAAGUGCUGAGAGAGAAAAAGAAACGGUGGAUGAGUUGACGAGUGAAUUGGCGUAAAUAGGGUUGGGCGGCUGGCUCUUCCUCCUCCUACUUUGCUGUUUCGUUUAUUUGUUG